This 1175-nucleotide long non-coding RNA is filed under the name Betta splendens (Siamese fighting fish). Its description in RNAcentral is "lncRNA (ENSBSLG00000013622.1)". The record is from RNAcentral. Lineage: Eukaryota; Metazoa; Chordata; Actinopteri; Anabantiformes; Osphronemidae.
CACUCACACACACACACACUCACACACACACACACACACACACACACACACACACACACACACACACACACACGCACACGCACUGUCUAAUAAAAAGCAUGGACACUCACUCACACAUGCACAAUGCACCAGUAAUGUGAUUUAACCUGCUUUCGUGAGCUCUGACGAGUACUCGACAUGAUUAAGAGCCAAUAUGCUGUUGCAUACAACCAAGCUUUUCUCUGAGCCGCUCUAUUUGCCUGCUCCUUAAGCCCCUCUUUGCAUCUCCCUCUGCAUGUCUUUUAAGCACUUCUGAGGCAUCGCAGGGGAAGAACUUUGCACACACACACAUCACCCAGGAUCCUUCACUUAGACGCAAGAGCACAUCAAAUGUCAGUGAAAUGGGGGAACUCUACGCACAUUGCUCCUCUCCAUCCUCUAAGACAGAUCAUCAUGUGCUUGGAAUCAUCAGAAGUUUUUGGGAGGUAUCCGGACAAAAAGUGAGGGAUUGCACGUGAGGAAGAGAAAAAUGGAGGAAGCAGAUGAAGAAAAAGAAGAGGAGGAUAAAGAAAAAAGCGGGUCCGCCUCAGUACACCCUGUCGGAAGUUUUUUUUUUGAUGUGCAGCAAAAUUAAAUAUUUUUUUGAUCUAACAAAUUAAUUUUCACCCCCACUCCCAAAGCCCGUCCCAUCCUCCCUCUUCCCUUUUCUCAAUGAGAUAAAGACAAUUUAAUUUAGAUACAACACUCACAGACAGAGACACACGCACACACGCACCCGUUUGGUUGGUCAAAGCUGACGAGAAUCCACCGCUACCACCAGUCAAACAUCCUACAGUAGGUUUGUGUUAAGGGCCUAUUUGAAUGUGGGUUGGGUUAAUGUCACCCUUGUGCUUAACCAAUAGAUGUCAUUAUAUUACUGAGCUAUUAUUACUUGAUUUAAAUGACACAUUAGACAACACCACGUGUAGUUUAGAUUCUUUGUUCUUCACUUAAAUCAAACGUCAUUCAUCAGAAAUGAAGGACGUGGAAGACAGGAGGAGGAAGCUUUGUAGGAAGCUAGACCACAGAUAGGUGGUCCAAUUGUACGACAACCAGCGCAGCUAGAGCCUUGGACGGUAUAAAACUCUGCGUGUACUAGAAAAUAUCACCAUUUGUAUUAAAAUAAAAACAUCUUCAUUUGUAUAAGUGUUGCCUCU